RNAcentral lists this ribosomal RNA (253 nucleotides) under uncultured bacterium. RNAcentral describes it as "partial 16S ribosomal RNA". It matches the Rfam family "Bacterial small subunit ribosomal RNA", at positions 524 to 776 of the family's 1533-position model. The record is from RNAcentral.
UACGGGGGGGGCAAGCGUUGUUCGGAAUUACUGGGCGUAAAGGGCUCGUAGGCGGCCAACUAAGUCGGAUGUGAAAGCCCGGGGCUUAACCCCGGGUCUGCAUUCGAUACGGGCAGGCUAGAGUUCGGUAGGGGAGAUCGGAAUUCCUGGUGUAGCGGUGAAAUGCGCAGAUAUCAGGAGGAACACCGGUGGCGAAGGCGGAUCUCUGGGCCGAUACUGACGCUGAGGAGCGAAAGCGUGGGGAGCGAACAGG